This 501-nucleotide ribosomal RNA is filed under the name uncultured bacterium. RNAcentral describes it as "partial 16S ribosomal RNA". It matches the Rfam family "Bacterial small subunit ribosomal RNA", at positions 30 to 523 of the family's 1533-position model. The record is from RNAcentral.
AUUGAACGCUGGCGGCAGGCUUAACACAUGCAAGUCGAGCGGGGGAAGGUAGCUUGCUACUGGACCUAGCGGCGGACGGGUGAGUAAUGCUUAGGAAUCUGCCUAUUAGUGGGGGACAACAUCUCGACAGGGAUGCUAAUACCGCAUACGUCCUACGGGCGAAAGCAGGGGAUCUUCGGACCUUGCGCUAAUAGAUGAGCCUAAGUCGGAUUAGCUAGUUGGUGGGGUAAAGGCCUACCAAGGCGACGAUCUGUAGCGGGUCUGAGAGGAUGAUCCGCCACACUGGGACUGAGACACGGCCCAGACUCCUACGGGAGGCAGCAGUGGGGAAUAUUGGACAAUGGGGGGAACCCUGAUCCAGCCAUGCCGCGUGUGUGAAGAAGGCCUUAUGGUUGUAAAGCACUUUAAGCGAGGAGGAGGCUACUUUAGUUAAUACCUAGAGAUAGUGGACGUUACUCGCAGAAUAAGCACCGGCUAACUCUGUGCCAGCCGCCGCCGUAA